AGGAUAAUAGUUAAAAUUAUAACAUUUAAUUUGCUUUUAAAAAUAUUAAAUAAUUUAUCUUA
RNAcentral lists this transfer RNA (62 nucleotides) under Cavariella salicicola. RNAcentral's name for it is "tRNA-Ala". The record is from RNAcentral. Lineage: Eukaryota; Metazoa; Arthropoda; Insecta; Hemiptera; Aphididae.